GCAAGGCUGUGCUGUCUCCGGCGGGGCCAAGGGAGUGAAUGGGCAGGUUUUUAUACCUGCCUCUCCUCAAUUAGGGGAAAGGGAGGAGAUCUCCCUCACCAGGUGAGUGAAACGCGCCCGCCUUCGGACGAAUGAGAGGGAAAGCGAUAACAAAUCCCUAAUUUGCUCGAGGGAGGGAAAGGAUCCUUCGGUCCGCCUGCCCUUUAAUGGCGGAGGGAGUACCGGUCCAUCUCACAGCUGAAGGAUAGGCGUCUUGCCUGCCUGCCUCCGCCUCCUCCUGGCUCGCCGACCCCUCCAAUCUGCAGUCGGCGAGUCGGUCUCCCUGGCUGAGGCGGUAACCACCGCCGCCACCUCCCCUGUCGCGCAGCCCGACUAGCUGUUGACUGACAGUUGGGCCGGGCGAUCCAAAUGGAGAAGGAGAAUGGGGUCCUGGCGCGCUACAGGGUGGUCCACAUCAAACGCCGUCUGCCGGGUAGUUAGUCAAUCGCCCUUCCAUUCAGGCAACAAGGACACCCUUGCCGGUCUGCGGAGGACCAGCCUCCUUGCGUUGGAUCACGGGAAUUGUAGUUCUAAGUCUGAUCGGCGCGAUAACGAAUAGGGCAAGGGCAAUAAUUGAUGGGAGUUGUAGUUUCAGGCAGACCGUGUUUCUCUUCCACCCACUCUCUGGGGGAUAAAAUGGCGUUUGAUACAAUGAUGUGAUGAGCCGUGGACCUUUAAUAACUACUAGGGGGGAUGUUUGGACAAAAGUCCUGGAUUGUCGUCACACGUUUUUAUUUUAAUAUGUAUUAACGUUAUACGUUUAUUGUUUCCCCUCUCAACGUCUUCGUUGCUUUCUAGUUCUAUUUUUCGGUCUUGCCGUUUUAUCGUUACCGUAUUUGGUUCCUUUGAAGAAGAAGCAGGAUUAAAAAGAUGGAUCAUUGAAUAAAGCAAUCCAAAGUUUUCUACCCGAGGCAAUUCAGCAAACAGGUCAAACAAUGGAUAAUAAAGAAGAACAUACUUGUCAACUGC
This is a non-coding RNA of Pantherophis guttatus, 1008 nucleotides long. The record is from RefSeq and is a predicted model, not a curated record. NCBI's taxonomy places the organism in Eukaryota, Metazoa, Chordata, Lepidosauria, Squamata, Colubridae.